UGGGGACUGUAGGCAGACUCCCCGCUUCAAGACGCCCAUCGGCGUCCAAGUUCUGC
RNAcentral lists this non-coding RNA (56 nucleotides) under unclassified sequences. RNAcentral's name for it is "chromate-resist RNA". It matches the Rfam family "chrB-b RNA". The record is from RNAcentral.